GAUGCCAAGUAUUCUGGGAGGAUCAACUUACAAGGGAAAGCAAAGACAAUGUAGUGGUGUGCAAGAGCCUACAAGGAGAUGCUUUGCUUCUAUGCUUUGGAAAGGAAAGCUAAAUAAAGAGGGAAAAGAAAAGAAAGCAGAGAAAACAUAUAGGGAGAGACAGGAAUAGAACAUAAAAGGGUGGUCUGCUUUGAGCCCAAGCUUCUUUCUUUUUCACUUGCAAUCUCAAGAAAAUCUUGAAAAUGGACCAGAG
This 253-nucleotide unclassified non-coding RNA is filed under the name Hevea brasiliensis (rubber tree). Lineage: Eukaryota; Viridiplantae; Streptophyta; Magnoliopsida; Malpighiales; Euphorbiaceae. The record is from RNAcentral.